GUGAGGGAUGACGGCCUUCGGGUUGUAAACCUCUUUCAGCAGGGAAGAAGCGAAAGUGACGGUACCUGCAGAAGAAGCGCCGGCUAACUACGUGCCAGCAGCCGCGGUAAUACGUAGGGCGCAAGCGUUGUCCGGAAUUAUUGGGCGUAAAGAGCUCGUAGGCGGUCUGUCGCGUCUGGUGUGAAAUCCCAUGGCUCAACUGUGGGCUUGCAUCGGGUACGGGCAGACUAGAGUGCUGUAGGGGAGACUGGAAUUCCUGGUGUAGCGGUGGAAUGCGCAGAUAUCAGGAGGAACACCGAUGGCGAAGGCAGGUCUCUGGGCAGUUACUGACGCUGAGGAGCGAAAGCAUGGGGAGCGAACAGGAUUA
This 367-nucleotide ribosomal RNA is filed under the name Promicromonospora sp. 10.25-Bb. RNAcentral's name for it is "bacterial SSU rRNA". It matches the Rfam family "Bacterial small subunit ribosomal RNA", at positions 401 to 780 of the family's 1533-position model. Lineage: Bacteria; Bacillati; Actinomycetota; Actinomycetes; Micrococcales; Promicromonosporaceae. The record is from RNAcentral.